RNAcentral lists this long non-coding RNA (3002 nucleotides) under Sus scrofa (pig). Its description in RNAcentral is "lncRNA (ENSSSCG00005022373.1)". The record is from RNAcentral. Lineage: Eukaryota; Metazoa; Chordata; Mammalia; Artiodactyla; Suidae.
GUGCCAGUGGCGCGGUGCCAGGGUGCGAGGGUAUUGCAGGACAGCGGCAAUCUGCUGCAGCCUGGGACUUGACAAUGCGCCCCUUUUGUAGCGCGGGGCCCGUGGGCAAGAGGCCCGGGUAAUCGGAGGGCCCGCCCCCAGCGCGUCAGGCCUCCUCCCGGGCGCUCUUGGGCUGGGAGCCCGGCGGCCCCGGGUGCUCCCGGCUGCACGUGCUGCCCCAUCCGCCGCCCUCGCCAGACAAAGCGGGGCCCUCCCGGCCGCGUUUCCCUGGCGCCCUCCUUCGCUCGACCGACCCUUUGAUUUCAUACUCUCGUCUUCAUCUCGCUCGACCCAGCCCUCACAGCUGUCUCCUGGAGCGCCUUCUGUUUUGUGCUUGCCACCUUAAGCUUGGCCUUCACUCCAGAGAUUUGCCUUCAAAACCGACUCCGUUUGACCUUGCCCCUCCCCCACUCUGUCAUCUCCUUUGCCAGCUUAAUGCUUUUGUUGUGAGGGCGACUGCUCUGCCCUACCUUUUGUAUUGUCCGCUGGCUCCCCUACCUAACACAACCUACUUUCUGUCCUCAGCCUUUUCAAGACUUCCCGAAACCCCCUUAACAUCUCUGCCUUUUUCUCUCAGGAGACUGCGAUAGCAGAGGGGAAGUCGCCAAUGGCUACCUGGAUCGAGUCCCCUUUGUAUUUCGUUCACAUCACCCUUUUUUCUUCCACCGAGACACCGCAUCCUUUGGCUACCGUCGGUGGCGCGGUGGUGGGAGUGUAAGAGGAGGUCUGCUUCCGCUGCCACCAUUACCUGUUUCUUGGAUGGUUAAGCUUGAGUAAAGGAAACUUCUGGAAAGUGGCCAAAGACCCUUGACAUGCCCCCCGCAGAGGAAACAUCGCUGACGUCAUCUCUGCUUGUCCACUCUGUGCUUCAGUCAAGCCCAAGGCCAUCCCAGCGGCAAACUUUUGCUGCCCUCUCCCAGAAUGCCUGCUGAAACUGCCUCCUUGAGUCUGAAGGGGACCAGUGGAAACUUUGGGGGACAUAUUUUCGGGAGGCCAAGGCUCAAAUUGCCUGCCCAGGAACACAGUCAAGGAAGUGCUUUGGUCUAUUCUAGGCUUGUGGUCCAACACCAGAGACAGCUUCCUUGUAAACUCGAAGAGGUUGAUCAUGGGUCUAUUAUUUGCAUAGUGUAUCUUUGCAUCUGCAUUCACUUAAUAUCCAAAUGCUUAGAAAACUGCCAGCCAGUUUUGUGGCUCUAACAAGGCAGUGUCUUGUUCUUUGAAAGCCUCCGAGUAAAAACAGUUUAUAUGUGCUUUGGAAGUGCUUGUCUGAAAUCUAAAGUUAACCUCUGUUUGUAGUCACGUCUUCUGGAUUAGUUACAGUACCCUGAACACUGAGCAGAGGACAGAGGGAGUAGGGUUUUGUUUUUCUCAGUCUGGAAAAGCCCAUCCUUGCUCUGUCUGUAAGCAUAUCCUUCUGGGAGGAAAAUGUUAUCAGCAAUAUUCCGAUGACCUGGGAUGGGGCUGAGGAUCAGGAAGGGAGCCCAACAACCCGAGGAUCGUUUUUGUGUUUCUUUUGGUGUUAAAUUGCUGUCUUGUUGAUGGAGGAAGGUAAGAAGGGGUGGAGACCCGGCUCGGUGGAGUUGGGAGGAGCAUGGGCAGAGUCAUGUGGGCUUGGCUUCCUUUCCUUCGAUCUCGCUUACCCAGUGAGCUAGAGAGAAUUUGCAACCACCUUCAACUAGAGAACAAUCUGCAAGCCAAUCUGCCCUGGGCACUGCCUCCGGGAACUUACACUCUCACAGAUAACACAAGUUCUGCAAACAGAUGUGUGGAGGGGUGUGGGAUGCAGCAGUGGGGAUUUUUCUGGUAAGCAGUAGAAAGGAUUUUCUCAUAACUAGAGAUCUCAACUGUGACAAGGGCUGGGCUUCCUUAGGUAUUUAUGGUCAUAGAUAUGGACAGAGAGUCUAGGCUAGAUGACCACCCAUCAGAAAUCCUACAGUGCAUGUUCCUGGGCUGGGUGAGGGGCGAACUGAUGACCCCUGUGGUUCCCUUCUAAUUCUAAGAGCCCGCCAUUUUCAAAUAUAUUAGUGAUCCUAGGCAGUGUGCAAUGAAUGGCGUGAACUUUAGAGGGAUUCUCUUCACUGAUUAGCUGUUGAGUGUGUACUUUGUCCUUUGGCUAGAUGCUACGGGAGAUCCAGAGAUGUGAAGAAUGGGGUUCAAGAUCUUUGCAAAGGCCACUGCCACUCAGGGCAACCUGAGGCAGAAGGGUUCCAGGCCAGAGUGAGAGUCUCCGUUUACUUUUCAAUCAAAGCCCAGGGGUCAGCAUCCUCUUAGGCCAUUGCCCUGGGAUUUGUUUCUUCCUGAGACACCGGAUUGAAAGAUUUCUAGGGCUUUUGAUCUGGAGGAGAGAGGGCAGAAAAGACACCCCGCAUGGAUCCAGAGAGACGUGCUGAGGGAGUGAGGCCAUGUCUGGCAGGGUGAAAGCCGGGUGAAGAUACAGACCCCCCCACACCCCCGUCCCCACCGCCAUCGGGAUAUGCUGGGAUGGGGACAGGAAUGAGAACUGGGAGGAAAAUGAGGUGGAAAUGAAUGGGCCCCUGUAGGAAGAGGUAAUGAGGUGAAUCAGAAAAAUCUGUCACUGAGAUCCAAGGAGAGACCAGGAGGUUUCAUCUCCCUCGGUCUUUUUAAAAAAUGAGCCGUGUCAGUUAGAGGAUUUGGAUUGAUGAAGACAGAUCUGUUUCCUUGGCUCUUACCAGGAGGCUAGGAAUGGAGCAGGUGGGGGCUUUACUGUGGCUGCUGAGAGAGAUGUCGCUACCCCAGCCCUUGGGCAGCCCGGCACCAGCUCAGGGCCCCAUCUUUCUUUUCCCACCUUUGGCAAAAGGAAUCCUGCUAAGCCCCUAGAACUCCUUCCCUGGCCAGUGCUAGGCACCCCGCAUCCCCUCCCCAUCAGCAGACUCCUCAGGAAGAGUCUGGGCACCUGUAAGCCAGGGAGAGUGGUGGGGUGGGGGGGGGAAUCCCUGCUCUGC